UAACAAAUCAUAUUCAUUGCAACACAAUCAUUUCUUAAAAUUUCAAUAUUCAUUACAACUUAAGUUCAACCCAAUCAAUUCUACCAUAUCCGUUACAAAAUAAAUUCUAUCACAACAAUGAUUCAAAUGAGUUAACACUUGUUACUCAUUCGUUCCUUCAAAAUGUGGUACAUCAACCAAUAUGCUCAAUAUUUUCUUCAUUGCCUUCACCAUAUAUCCUUCCAAUCGCGGUAUAGGUAGCUGAAAGAUUACAUGAAUAAUAAGCUUAAAACCAAAAGUACGUAUUAAUAAGUUUACAACACAGUCACAAAGGAACUAACAACCCAAUCAUUUCUAAAAUGCGUUAUGAAAGAAAAAGACUAAAAUCAAAUCUUCAAUUUCAAAGCACUAUUGGAGCACUAGCAUUUUCGGUGGUAGAUAACUAUAUCAUAACUCAGAUAUAAAAACGACAACUGCUAUACAUCAGUUUCUUGUCCGAUCUGGCAAGUUACCUGGGCCAUAAUAGUACACCAUACUGAACUUGAACACAGGAUUAAGGUAUUACUAAUACCACUACUAUUUUUUUUUUUUUAUCAGGAAAAAAGCGAAAUCUUAUUACUCAGGGUAUAAAAACGACAACUGGUGAUUAAAUUAUUCUGAAAUACAUUAGACACUUCAUCAGCCACCAGGAAUAUUCAGAAGAAGAUAUUUAGCAUUAUGCAAUAAAACAUAAAAUGCAAUCACAUACCUAGCUGAGCAGCCAAAAUGCCUAUUUCUGCAAAUCUUCUUCAAGGACUUUUGCCUAUCGUUUGAUGCUAAUUUACGAUGAUAGAACUCCUGCACAUUUGUGUAAAAUUUCACACAUUGAUAUACAUUUAAAUAUAAAAAAAUGCACUUAAUAUAUAUUCCAAAGAAAGGCUGAUAACAAUCUAAAGCAUAUUUUUUUAUAAUUACAAGUACUUAUUCUAAUUAUAGAAACCAAUAUUGGUUAUAUGUGCACUCUUUUUUCCCCAACAGUUUGGGAUAUAACAUGAUCUAGAGAUGGCCACGUAACUCUUAAAAUAAAGCAUACAACUUUAUUGAGUAUAAACAUAUUUAUAUAGAAUUGAAAAAAAAAAUCAUUGUACCUAGAAAAUGAUAUGUACUACUAUUUUAGGUCAUAAGAAGAUACUUCUUUCAUAAGUAAAUAAAGCAACACACUAAUUUAGUUUCUCUUCAAAAUUCACAUUUCAGCAAGUAAUGUGAUGUCAUAUCUUCAAUUUUAAGUAUGCAAUUUAAGUAUUCACUGAAAAAGUACGCAAUUUAAGUAAAGAAAUUUCAAAGAUUAAUAUUCAUUUUACUUUUGUAGAGACAUUUGCCAUAGCUUAAUGGACAAAUCAUACAUUAGACAACAAUGUAAGCAGACCACCUUAAUUAAUUGAAGAAAACAAAUAGAUCGAGUCUAACUCUUACUCUCUAAUGCUAUGUCAGGCAGCUUCUCGAUCAACCCAAAUCAUGGCCAAUAUUCCUAUAGUCCAAGCCUCUAAUUAAUCAUUCUUACAAAUAUAUUAAUAAGGCUUUAGAAAUACAAUUUCUGGAAUCAUUACAAAAUCAAACUAUGUUUUGGGAGUUAGCCACUGAAAUGCCCAACUAAUUUAAUCAACUAGCACAUAUGAACCAAAUCGUAUUACCAUCGUGCCAAAAGGGUAAAUUGAUUGGCAACAGAAAGUCAAUUUAAAAAGAAUACUACAACAAUUGAUAUCAUGUAAUUGAUUUGUAAUUUGAACUACUCAUAACAUUACAAUUAUUAUAUCAUAUACCCCACCCCCACCCCACCCUACCCCACCACAUUUUUGACAAAAUUCUUCAGAGAAUAAUUCAAAAAAGUUACAAUCUAUAUCUGCAGUAUUCUUUAUAGGACAAAUUAGAUUAUAUAAAAAACAAUCAUGCAAAAAAAAUAGAGAACAAGACCUUGAUAGUUCGCUUUAGUAACUUGUUGGUCGCCAUUUGAGUUAUUUAAAAGAUCUCCCUGUUGCAGGAAUUAUGGGUGAAAGAAUUGGUAAGGAAGAAAAUAGACAAAUGUAUAGCAAACAAGAUAUAUUAUAAAAGAAAAAAGUUACAAUCAAUAGCUAUUCCCUUUUAACAGCGUCGCACUUGCCAAUGUUCAUAUUUCCUCACCAUAAUUGUUGCCCACCGCCUGUGUCUCAUGUCAUGCCUUUAGAAUAUCUAUUAUAAACUUUCCCUACCAAACGAAGAAUUGUUGAGAACUGAAAACAAAAUUGAAAAAUGGGAUAUUAAAACCAUGACAUCUUGAACCAGAAUUAUUGGGAAGAAAAUCCUAAGAACACAAACACAAAGAGAGAAGAAAGAUCCGGAGAAUCACAUACAAAACAAUAAAAAAGACCAGAUGAAUAAGCAGAAUAGCAAUUUUACCUGAAAAGGGGUAAACAAAAACAGGUUAAAUAUUCAAAAUCCCUUGACAAACUAGGCAGAUAAGCAAAAUAACUCCAUAAAUAUAUGUAUAUAAUCAAUGAUAAUAAACAUAGUUUCUUCGUCACUGAAUGAAAUAAUAAAAUAAUUUCCAAUUCAUCGGAAAAUAAAACAGAGCUCACCUGAAACCCUAGUUGAGUUCUGUAAAAACCUUAGCGGCUGGCAAUAGGUAAAAAUGGCUGGAAAUUAGAGCCAGCAAGCGCCGCAACAUACGAGAAUGACCGCCGAUCCCGGCAUAACAGACUAGUUCGGCGGCAGCGGUUAUAAGAGCGCGAGAGAGACGAUUUUCAGAAUUUUUGACCAAGGGAUUAUUUGGUUUUGGAGGAAAAAUUAGAGAGACGAUUUUCAUUUUAAAUUUUCACCAGGGAAUUACUUUGGUUUUAGGGAAAAAA
RNAcentral lists this long non-coding RNA (2840 nucleotides) under Salvia miltiorrhiza (redroot sage). RNAcentral describes it as "long non-coding RNA (SMIL_LNC010843)". Lineage: Eukaryota; Viridiplantae; Streptophyta; Magnoliopsida; Lamiales; Lamiaceae. The record is from RNAcentral.